This 253-nucleotide ribosomal RNA is filed under the name uncultured bacterium. Its description in RNAcentral is "partial 16S ribosomal RNA". It matches the Rfam family "Bacterial small subunit ribosomal RNA", at positions 524 to 776 of the family's 1533-position model. The record is from RNAcentral.
GACAGAGGGUGCAAGCGUUGUUCGGAAUUACUGGGCGUAAAGCGCGUGUAGGUGGCAAGGCAAGUCGGGUGUGAAAGCCCUGGGCUCAACCCAGGAAGUGCACUCGAUACUGCCUCGCUAGAGUCCCGGAGAGGUUGGUGGAACUCUCGGUGUAGAGGUGAAAUUCGUAGAUAUCGAGAAGAACACCGGUGGCGAAGGCGGCCAACUGGACGGUGACUGACACUGAGACGCGAAAGCGUGGGGAGCAAACAGG